Cannabis sativa is the source of this 825-nucleotide long non-coding RNA. RefSeq lists it as uncharacterized. The transcript has 3 exons. Lineage: Eukaryota; Viridiplantae; Streptophyta; Magnoliopsida; Rosales; Cannabaceae. The record is from RefSeq and is a predicted model, not a curated record.
ACCCGAGAAGGGUAAAACUGUGAAUUUAAUUUAUUUAUGUGCUUGUGAACUAUAUAAUUAUAUAGUAUAUCUGGUGUGUCCUUUUUCAGGUGUGUUUAGACAAGUUGGCGCGGUAUAGUCACAAUCAGGUAUUUCGGGCCGAACUGGGUUCGGGGCCGAAAUAUAAUUUUGGGAUAAAUUAUUGGCAUCUUAUUUAUGUGUGAAUAAUCUAAAUUUUUUUUUUUUUGAGUUUAUUUGUGAUAUGAAUGACCAUUUUGUCCUAGAAUGCUUUUAAGUGUGUUAUAUGGCCUUAGGGUCAAUAUGGUAAUUUGGCCUACAUGUAUUAUUUGUAGUAAAUGGAAUUAUUUGUAAAAAAGAGAUUGUAUUUUCUAGUUUUUCACACCCAGCCGACCCCUCUCUUUCUCUCUCCCUAAACUUCUUUUCCAAGUUUUGAUUUUUGUUGAGAAAGAGCUUGAAUUUUUGCUAACUUUUGGAGCUUGGAAUUUGGAGGUGUUGGGGAUUGUUCUUGCUAUAAUUUGAGGAUUACCGACACUUGGUUAGGAGCACCCGGGGAUUUGGAAUCUCCAUAUUUGCAGGACAUCAGGAAAGGGUAAAUUUGUUUCUAAUCACCCAUGAGUGUGGGAGCUGGGCGAUGAAUGUAAAUGUUCGGGCCACACUAGACCAAGCGAGUUGGGGUCUACCAGCGUUGAAACUUUUGUAACUCUGUUUUGCUACUUAGGUCGGCUAAGGGAAAAGACUUGUAAUAUUUUGUAAAAUAAUUUUGGGAUCCCGAAACACGUAACUUUUGUUUGUAAGGUUAAAAUUAUUACAAAUUUAUUUUCAUUC